Molecule: long non-coding RNA, 932 nt
Organism: Anolis carolinensis (green anole)
Lineage: Eukaryota; Metazoa; Chordata; Lepidosauria; Squamata; Anolidae
Exons: 5
Source: RefSeq, a predicted model, not a curated record
AGGCUUUUUUGUUUGCUUUUUUCUUAGAUCAAUCCAUUUUUUCCAGACCAAAACUGUCAAGAAGCCCCCGCACAAAGGAAACACUCAGAUCAAAGGCUAAAGCUUUGCCAUCUUGAAAUUACAAUAUGACAAGAGUUUCAUCUAGAGGCAUUGUUUAGACAACUCCAAUAAAAGCGCAAGUGCUCUCACAUUUUGGACCCUGUCUGUAUGGGCCCUAGCAUCCUCAGAAAGAGAAACAAGUCCAGUGGUGGUGAGCCUUUUAGAAAGCGAGUGCCCAAACCACAAUCCAAAACCAGUUAUGAGACCCAAGGAGUAAUUCAAGCUCCACUGACAACAAAACAUAUAAGACACAUUACUGGAGAAAAUAAGGUGACAAUUGUGUUGAUAUCAGCUUCAUAAAAAGAAGAAAGAAGUCCCAAACUUUUUUCCAUCAAUCUUCCAUGGGGAUGAAAGUUUGUUUCCAGUAUUUCUAAUAUUGAACUAAUUUUGUAUACCAAUUUAUACAAUUUGACAAAUUUCUUCAUAUUCAUGGAAUAAACUUGAAAUUUUUGUUUUAAAUCCUGUUUCAUGAUGGGAAUCUUUGAGAUUUCAAAUAUUUUAAUGUGAAAAUGAAACUGAUAAAGUCUACCAACUUUAGCAUCAACAUCUGAAGGUCACAAAGAUUAACAGUUUUGGCUCACAAAGCAUUAUUUUCAUGAUGUGCAAUAUAUUAUACUUUUAUAUAAUACAAGCAGGGGGAAAUAGGCUUCAGCUGAAUUGCUCUGAAUAUGUUUGACCUUGUAGAUAAUAUAGUCGUGAUUGUUGAAUGUGUGAGCCAUUAAACUGAACAAAAAGACAUAAUGGUUUUGUGUCCUCCCUGAGACAGCUAAAACAAGCAAAUAUAAAAAUAGCUAAUAAGCUGAUUUUAGCUAGGCGGAUCACAAGUUGCAGCG